AGGGUCUCUAACAAGAGGAGUGCAGAGGUUGGUGAAAUGGAUUGUGCAAGGAGACCUGAGAUGACACAGGGUUUACAGCCACAAGAUUGUGAAAAACAGUGUUUCACCGGACCUGUGAAUAAGAGUUCCUGUUGUUGGACCUAUAUCCUGGAUAGCAUGUGGUGUCAGUGUUUUGGA
Long non-coding RNA from Neogale vison (American mink), 177 nucleotides. RefSeq lists it as uncharacterized. The transcript has 3 exons. The record is from RefSeq and is a predicted model, not a curated record. NCBI's taxonomy places the organism in Eukaryota, Metazoa, Chordata, Mammalia, Carnivora, Mustelidae.